AUCGAACGCUGGCGGCAUGCUUUACACAUGCAAGUCGAACGGCAGCACGGACUUCGGUCUGGCGGCGAGUGGCGAACGGGUGAGUAAUGUAUCGGAACGUGACCAGACGGGGGGGCUAGCGCUGUGAAAAUAACGCUAAUACCGCAUACGAUCUAUGGGUGAUAGCGGGGGAUCGCCAGUGAUCGCGCGAUUGGAGCGGCCGAUAUCCGAUUAGGUAGUUGGUGGGGUAAAGGCCCACCAAGCCAACGAUCGGUAGCGGGUCUGGGAGGACGACCAGCCAGACUGGAACUGAGACACGGCCCAGACUCUUACGGGGGGCAGCAGUGGGGAAUUUUGGGCAAUGGACGAGAGUCUGAUCCAGCCAUGCCGCGUGCGGGAAGAAGGCCUUCGGGUUGGAGACCGCUGUUGGCAGGGAAGAAACGCUCUGGGUUAAUACCUCGGGGUAAUGACGGUACCUGAAGAAUAAGCACCGGCUAACUACGUGCCAGCCGCCGCAGUAA
RNAcentral lists this ribosomal RNA (500 nucleotides) under uncultured bacterium. Its description in RNAcentral is "partial 16S ribosomal RNA". It matches the Rfam family "Bacterial small subunit ribosomal RNA", at positions 29 to 523 of the family's 1533-position model. The record is from RNAcentral.